RNAcentral lists this ribosomal RNA (253 nucleotides) under uncultured bacterium. RNAcentral's name for it is "partial 16S ribosomal RNA". It matches the Rfam family "Bacterial small subunit ribosomal RNA", at positions 524 to 776 of the family's 1533-position model. The record is from RNAcentral.
UACGUAGGGUGCAAGCGUUGUCCGGAAUUAUUGGGCGUAAAGGGCUCGUAGGCGGUUUGUCGCGUCGGGAGUGAAAACCCAGGGCUUAACCCUGGGCUGGCUUUCGAUACGGGCAGACUAGAGGUAUGCAGGGGAGAACGGAAUUCCUGGUGUAGCGGUGAAAUGCGCAGAUAUCAGGAGGAGCACCGGUGGCGAAGGCGGGUCUCUGGGCAGUAACUGACGCUGAGGAGCGAAAGCGUGGGGAGCGAACAGG